This 482-nucleotide ribosomal RNA is filed under the name uncultured bacterium. RNAcentral's name for it is "partial 16S ribosomal RNA". It matches the Rfam family "Bacterial small subunit ribosomal RNA", at positions 28 to 523 of the family's 1533-position model. The record is from RNAcentral.
GACGAACGCUGGCGGCGUGCUUAACACAUGCAAGUCGAACGAUGAAGCCCAGCUUGCUGGGUGGAUUAGUGGCGAACGGGUGAGUAACACGUGGGCAACCUGCCCCAAACUCUGGGAUAACUCCUCGAAAGAGGUGCUAAUACCGGAUACGAACUAGGUAGACAUCUGCACUAGUUGGAAAGUUUUUCGGUUUGGGAUGGGCCCGCGGCCUAUCAGCUUGUUGGUGAGGUAACGGCUCACCAAGGCUACGACGGUUAACCGGCCUGAGAGGGGUACCGGUCACACUGGGACUGAGACACGGGCCAGACUCCUACGGGAGGCAGCAGUGGGGAAUAUUGCGAAAUGGGCGAAAGCCUGACGCAGCGACGCCGCGUGAGGGAUGAAGGUCUUCGGAUCGUAAACCUCUUUCAGUAGGGACGAAGCGAAAGUGACGGUACCUAAAGAAGAAGCACCGGCUAACUACGUGCCAGCCGCCGCCGUAA